CUGUGGAGCUCACAGUAGUCUUUGUUCCAGCUGCUGCCCAAGCAGACAUGGAGGUGGUCUCCAGUUCUCCACUCAUCAGUAUUCAAAAGGUCGAGGCACAAUGCGACUCCCCAAGUCUAUCAAAGUACAUCAUCGGGGCUUUGGACCUCCGAGCAGCCGGCUCUGCUUCCAUUACCAUCAGCAGUGCCUCCUUGGGUCAGAAUCUCAUCAUCCUGGUCACAUUGAUACACGUGGCUAAUUCCGGUGCAGACAUGUAAGGUCAGUUUUCCUCUGCAAGUUCAUGGGAAGUCACAAUAAGGUUGACUCUUAAAAAUGUUUGACGCAGAGGAAUACCUCAAUUUGUUGUUAAUAUGAUUUGACUCGCACAAGCAAAUUCUGAACUAUAUUGUGUCGAUGACAUGGUUGUGUGCUUCCCUUGCUACUUGUGCUGCCUCUAAGUGACGAACUGCUGUUGUCAAGCCAAGAGAUGGCAAGUGUGCCGGUUGGGCCUUUUUUUGAAGUGUUGUAUUUUUGUGUUGACUGAAUAAACAUGCAUACUGGGCACCCUG
Hippocampus comes (tiger tail seahorse) is the source of this 548-nucleotide long non-coding RNA. RefSeq lists it as uncharacterized. Lineage: Eukaryota; Metazoa; Chordata; Actinopteri; Syngnathiformes; Syngnathidae. The transcript has 2 exons. The record is from RefSeq and is a predicted model, not a curated record.